Molecule: long non-coding RNA, 428 nt
Filed under: Pan troglodytes (chimpanzee)
Lineage: Eukaryota; Metazoa; Chordata; Mammalia; Primates; Hominidae
Description: lincRNA
Source: RNAcentral
AUGUGAAACAACCAUUUCAACCAGCUUGGACAAAAGAGAGAAGCCAAGAUGGGGCUGAGAAACCAAUGCAGGCAGGCCCAGGGACCCAGGAGUCAGGGACCAGGUGCUACCAGAUGCUUGCUCCGACUCGUGUUGCUGCUGUCUUCUCUGUGCCUCAACUCUGUCCUCUGUCACUGCAGGCAGCUUCCUCCCAAGGUGGAAGGCGAUAUAUCCCACCUCAUGAAAUCAGGCUUCACCACAAGAUUGCUUUGACCAAUGGGACGUGAGUAGAAGUUUGAAGAACCACAGACUGGUCCAUCACCUUGUUUCUUAUCCCUCUGACAUAAGCAAUGUCCCAGACUGGGGCUGUUCUGUUAGCCUGGCUUCCAGAAUGAAGAGAGCUGAUCUACAUGGCAUAUGUAACAUAAAUAAACCUUUGUUAUUACAAA